CAGUAGCCACGGUAAUACAGAGGGUGCGAGCGUUAAUCGGAUUUACUGGGCGUAAAGCGUGCGUAGGCGGUUUCUUAAGUCGGAUGUGAAAUCCCUGAGCUUAACUUAGGAAUUGCAUUCGAUACUGGGAAGCUAGAGUAUGGGAGAGGAUGGUAGAAUUCCAGGUGUAGCGGUGAAAUGCGUAGAGAUCUGGAGGAAUACCGAUGGCGAAGGCAGCCAUCUGGCCUAAUACUGACGCUGAGGUACGAAAGCAUGGGGAGCAAACAGGAUUAGAUACCCGUGUAGUCCCUGUCUCUUAUAC
RNAcentral lists this ribosomal RNA (301 nucleotides) under uncultured bacterium. RNAcentral's name for it is "partial 16S ribosomal RNA". It matches the Rfam family "Bacterial small subunit ribosomal RNA", at positions 509 to 807 of the family's 1533-position model. The record is from RNAcentral.